UACGAAGGGGGCUAGCGUUGCUCGGAAUCACUGGGCGUAAAGCGCACGUAGGCGGAUCUUUAAGUCAGGGGUGAAAUCCUGGAGCUCAACUCCAGAACUGCCUUCGAUACUGUAGAGCUUGAGUUCGGGAGAGGUGAGUGGAACUGCGAGUGUAGAGGUGAAAUUCGUAGAUAUUCGCAAGAACACCAGUGGCGAAGGCGGCUCACUGGCCCGAUACUGACGCUGAGGUGCGAAAGCGUGGGGAGCAAACAGG
RNAcentral lists this ribosomal RNA (253 nucleotides) under uncultured bacterium. Its description in RNAcentral is "partial 16S ribosomal RNA". It matches the Rfam family "Bacterial small subunit ribosomal RNA", at positions 524 to 776 of the family's 1533-position model. The record is from RNAcentral.